Diprion similis is the source of this 91-nucleotide long non-coding RNA. RefSeq lists it as uncharacterized. Lineage: Eukaryota; Metazoa; Arthropoda; Insecta; Hymenoptera; Diprionidae. The transcript is spliced from 3 exons. The record is from RefSeq and is a predicted model, not a curated record.
UUCACGAAGUUUAGAACGAUUCUGAGGGGGUCAGGCUUUUGGUCAGGUCGAUUUGACGUGGAAUGCCCCAUAUAUGUACAUAUAUGGAUAG